CGCAGGCGGAAGAUCAAGUCAGCGGUAAAAUUGAGAGGCUCAACCUCUUCGAGCCGUUGAAACUGGUUUUCUUGAGUGAGCGAGAAGUAUGCGGAAUGCGUGGUGUAGCGGUGAAAUGCAUAGAUAUCACGCAGAACUCCGAUUGCGAAGGCAGCAUACCGGCGCUCAACUGACGCUCAUGCACGAAAGUGUGGGUAUCGAACAGGAUUAGAUACCCUGGUAGUCCACACAGUAAACGAUGAAUACUAAUUGUUCGGGGAGAAUGAUCCCUGAGUGAUACAGCGAAAGCGUUAAGUAUUCCACCUGGGGAGUACGCCGGCAACGGUGAAACUCAAAGGAAUUGACGGGGGCCCGCACAAGCGGAGGAACAUGUGGUUUAAUUCGAUGAUACGCGAGGAACCUUACCCGGGCUCAAACGACACAGGAAUACUUUUGAAAGGAAGUAGCUCUACGGAGCCUGUGUCGAGGUGCUGCAUGGUUGUCGUCAGCUCGUGCCGUGAGGUGUCGGCUUAAGUGCCAUAACGAGCGCAACCCCCAUCGCCAGUUACCAGCAAGUCAAGUUGGGGACUCUGGCGAGACUGCCGGCGCAAGCUGUGAGGAAGGCGGGGAUGACGUCAAAUCAGCACGGCCCUUACGUCCGGGGCGACACACGUGUUACAAUGGCAGGUACAGAGAGAAGCAAUGCGGCGACGCAAAGCGGAACUUGAAAGCCUGUCUCAGUUCGGAUUGGAGUCUGCAACUCGACUCCAUGAAGCUGGAUUCGCUAGUAAUCGCGCAUCAGCCAUGGCGCGGUGAAUACGUUCCCGGGCCUUGUACACACCGCCCGUCAAGCCAUGGAAGCCGGGAGUGCCUGAAGUGUGCAACCGCAAGGAGCGCCCUAAGGUAAAACUGGUGACUGGGGCUAAGUCGUAACAAGGUAACCGUAA
RNAcentral lists this ribosomal RNA (926 nucleotides) under uncultured bacterium. Its description in RNAcentral is "bacterial SSU rRNA". It matches the Rfam family "Bacterial small subunit ribosomal RNA", at positions 570 to 1505 of the family's 1533-position model. The record is from RNAcentral.